AACAUUUUCACAUGGGAAUCUUAUUAAAAUGUAGAUUUGAAUUCAGUGGGUCUGAAGGGAAGGGUUGAACAGACCAAGAUUCUGCAUUUUUAAUAUGCUCCCAGAGAAAGCUUG
This 114-nucleotide microRNA precursor is filed under the name Marmota monax (woodchuck). Lineage: Eukaryota; Metazoa; Chordata; Mammalia; Rodentia; Sciuridae. The record is from RNAcentral.